ACGAACGCUGGCGGCGUGCUUAACACAUGCAAGUCGAACGGAAAGGCCCUGCUUGCAGGGUACUCGAGUGGCGAACGGGUGAGUAACACGUGGGUGAUCUGCCCUGCACUUCGGGAUAAGCCUGGGAAACUGGGUCUAAUACCGGAUAGGAGCCAUUUUUAGUGUGAUGGUUGGAAAGUUUUUUCGGUGUAGGAUGAGCUCGCGGCCUAUCAGCUUGUUGGUGGGGUAAUGGCCUACCAAGGCGGCGACGGGUAGCCGGCCUGAGAGGGUGGACGGCCACAUUGGGGCUGAGAUACGGCCGAGACGCCUACGGGUGGCAGCAGUGGGGAAUAUUGCACAAUGGGCGCAAGCCUGAUGCAGCGACGCCGCGUGGGGGAUGACGGCCUUCGGGUUGUAAACUCCUUUCGCUAGGGACGAAGCGUUUUGUGACGGUACCUAGAUAAGAAGCACCGGCUAACUACGUG
This 464-nucleotide ribosomal RNA is filed under the name uncultured bacterium. RNAcentral describes it as "partial 16S ribosomal RNA". It matches the Rfam family "Bacterial small subunit ribosomal RNA", at positions 29 to 507 of the family's 1533-position model. The record is from RNAcentral.